This 146-nucleotide ribosomal RNA is filed under the name Dinophyceae sp. RNAcentral describes it as "partial small subunit ribosomal RNA". It matches the Rfam family "Eukaryotic small subunit ribosomal RNA", at positions 1296 to 1461 of the family's 1831-position model. The record is from RNAcentral. Lineage: Eukaryota; Dinophyceae.
AGUUGGUGGAGUGAUUUGUCUGGUUAAUUCCGUUAACGAACGAGACCUUAACCUGCUGAAUAUCUACACAUUGUCACGGCAAUGCUGUCGGAUUCUUAGAGGAACAUUGCGUAGCCAACGCAAGGAAGUCUGAGGCAAUAACAGGU